AUCAAUAAGCGGAGGAAAAGAAAAUAACAAUGAUUUCCCUAGUAACGGCGAGUGAAGAGGAAAGAGCUCAAAGUUGGAACCUGUUUGGCUUAGCCAAACCGGAUUGUAAACUGUAGAAGUGUUUUCCAGACACGCCUGGUAAAAAAGUCCUUUGGAACAGGGCAUCAUAGAGGGUGAGAAUCCCGUCUUUGGCCAGAGCUGUUGUCUUUUGUGAUACAUUUUCAAAGAGUCAGGUUGUUUGGGAAUGCAGCCUAAAUUGGGUGGUAAAUCUCACCUAAAGCUAAAUAUUUGCGAGAGACCGAUAGCGAACAAGUACCGUGAGGGAAAGAUGAAAAGAACUUUGAAAAGAGAGUUAAACAGUAUGUGAAAUUGUUAAAAGGGAACCGUUUGGAGCCAGACUGGCUUUUCUGUAAUCAAUCUAGGCUUUGGCCUGGAUGCACUUGCAGUUUAUGCCUGCCAACGACAGUUAUUUUUGAGGGAAAAAACCUUGUGGAAUGUGGCCCUUCGGGGUGUUAUAGCUACUUGGAAAAUACCUUGGAAGUGACUGAGGAUCGCAGUGAAUGCCUUUAGGCAAGAUUGCUGGGUGCUUUCGCUGAUAUAUGCUAGAAUUUCUGCCUCGGGUGGUGCUAGUGUCUAAAGGAGAAACCCGCUUAGUAUAUUUUUUAUUCGCUUAGGUUGUUGGCUUAAUGACUCUAAAUGAC
This 701-nucleotide ribosomal RNA is filed under the name Mucor luteus. Its description in RNAcentral is "eukaryotic LSU rRNA". It matches the Rfam family "Eukaryotic large subunit ribosomal RNA", at positions 42 to 648 of the family's 3401-position model. The record is from RNAcentral. Lineage: Eukaryota; Fungi; Mucoromycota; Mucoromycetes; Mucorales; Mucoraceae.